UUAAUAACUAUUUUUAAAUGUAUGUUAAAAGAUCACAUUUAGUCUAUCACCCUAUCUGUUACAGUUUAAAAAUUCAAAACUUAAUAGGGCUUAUCAGCUUACUUCCAUAUCCCAACUGCUGACUCUAGCACAAAGUUUCUGUUUUGAUCCUAAGAUUGCACAGCUGUUUAUUCAUUAAGAUUCAUGAAAUUUCUACAGCCCUGAACAGGGGUUACUGAAGUUGUAAUCUCUCCUUUCUCUGCCUUAUCUCCGUUAUAAAUCCAAGGUGUCUUUGGACAUAGAUAGGAACCAAGUUAUCUGACAUAGCUUGGCUCUACAGACAUUUGGAGGAUUUCUCCUGAUGAUACAACAAAAACAAAGAAGUCUCAAGAGUACAAUGGACAUUUGCAAAGGUAUACUUCAACUCUCUUCUUUUUUUCUACCCAAGAUUUAUCACUAUUCCCAAA
Molecule: long non-coding RNA, 446 nt
Filed under: Bos taurus (domestic cattle)
Lineage: Eukaryota; Metazoa; Chordata; Mammalia; Artiodactyla; Bovidae
Description: long non-coding RNA NONBTAT015022
Source: RNAcentral